UUACAUUUUCAGUAAUACAGCUAUUAGGUGAAAAAAUUUCGUUUAAAGCAUUUUUAAAAAUAAAUAUUAACAAAAAGACACAAUGAAAAAGUAGUCAAGAAUACAAAAAACAAUUUAUUAUUAGUCAGUAACGUUCAAAAUCUGGGACCAAAAACAAAACAUUUUCAAUACUUCAUGCAUUUAUAGGGUGGUCUGAGGAGGGAGAGGUGCAUUCAUCUUCCUAGGAAAACUUUGUACUACAUUGGGACUCCCAAGAGAAUGAAACUGAACGUGCCCACUUCCGCACACCGCACCCUCUGAUCCCUCUUUGUUACACCAUUGAUUAGAAUACUAAUGAAUACCAGUGCAGACCGAGAUGUAUUAAAUGAAAACCAUCGUAACCCAAUGGCAGAUAGUAGUAGAAGAAAUAUUAUACGGAAAUAAUUAUUUCAAAUACAACAGCUCAAUUUUACAUGACAGUGAAAUUAUGAUAAAAGAGUUUCUGGAUAUUUAGACAACUACAAAUGCGUGCUACGAAGUGUGUUGUAAUCGAAAUGACAGCUGAAUCAAGAAGGGUUGAUCAAUUCCACUUUUUUGAUUUGACACUUCCUUGCUAGCUAUAAUGUGAUGAAAAUAGGAAAGGUUCUAAAAUAUGUCAAUGUAAAAAUUUGAUAACACAUAAAAUAAUUAUUUAUUGCAUUAUAAUUAAUAGUAGAUUUUAAGGACUAAUAUUCUUCCCCGAAAUUAUUGUAAUA
Melanaphis sacchari is the source of this 734-nucleotide long non-coding RNA. RefSeq lists it as uncharacterized. The transcript has 4 exons. Lineage: Eukaryota; Metazoa; Arthropoda; Insecta; Hemiptera; Aphididae. The record is from RefSeq and is a predicted model, not a curated record.